Molecule: long non-coding RNA, 1136 nt
Organism: Brassica oleracea var. oleracea
Lineage: Eukaryota; Viridiplantae; Streptophyta; Magnoliopsida; Brassicales; Brassicaceae
Exons: 8
Source: RefSeq, a predicted model, not a curated record
UUUUUGCCCUAGGACCUCCGGUAUGUUUGAGCCGGCCCUGGUUCUCUGACAUCAGCAAUGGAGUUUCCAGAGACUGAGUGGCUCAAAUCGAGAAGAGUUUUUUUGUUGGUCUUCAGUCGCGACGUUUAGUCUUCUGUUAUUAUCAACCGACGAGUUACAGAUUCUUCUCCUUUAUUGCCUUCUUAACGCCAUAGACCGACGUGAAGCAUGAUCUGAUAUUGAAUGCAACUUAUCCCUCUGCAAGGCGGUGUAUCUACACCUAUAAAAAGUCCGACUGCUGCUCCUCCAUGGUUGAAGUGCGAUUACACUGAUGAAAUUUCAGUUGAAGAGGAAACGUCAAUGCUUUGGUCAAAAGGUUCGAUAUCAGAGCAGCAGCCACGAGUGAAAAGAUAAUUUGUGUGUGGCGUUAAUCCAGAUGCGUCUACUAGAGCUUGAAAACUCAUCUAAUCUGAAAUAUACUAAGGAUUAUCUAAGGAGUCUAAUGUUAUUGCUACGAACCUUAGCAAGAAUGUGAAACCUUGCUGUCUCAGGUUUACUGAACUACGAGAACAAGGAAGAGCAUGACUGCUGCCAUUCAUGUGAGGAUGUUCGUGACACAUUUAGAAACAAAGGUUGGGGUGUUACAAAUCCAGAUUUGAUUGACCAGAGUAUCCCCUAGCUGAUCACUGAGAAAACGGUUACCAUCCUCACUUGAUUGCUCUUGAGCAAGGUAAUCAUCGUCCAUCGAUUAUUCUAUUGUAUCCAUCCUAUCAAAAACACACAAUAAUCAUUGAGGGAUUGAGGUGACAAACGUGGCCAUAGCGUCGUUGGAAAUGCGGGAGUGAAGUUAGCCACAUUGCAGCUGGUGUACAUGGAGAAUUGCAAUUACCUUACUGUCGAUUUCUUCAAGAAGCUUCUCCGGCUCCGAGAGUGCCCAUUGUUUUUCUCGGUUGUGGUCAGUGGCUGAGGCACAGAAGAGACUUCUAGGUUAUUUAAUUUUUCUGAGAUGUUCUGCCUGGGGAGUGGGAAGACAUCAUGCCGUAUCGUUUUAUUACAACAACACAGUUUGUUCUGCUGUCUCUGUCUGUAUUCACUUUUGACCAUUACCUUAUAUGCAUGCGCUCAAACAUAUCAACGAUAUUUUUUAGUUACGUAGA